UUUGGUCUGGACUAGAAAUAGUUUGGGCCCGAGGUUUACUGAACUAAACUUCAAUAUUUAUAUUGAAUUGUUAUUUAUUUAAUUGUCAAUUUGUUGAUUAAAUUCAAAAAAUCUUCAAAACUUUCAACAACGGAUCUCUUGGUUCUCGCAUCGAUGAAGAACGCAGCGAAAUGCGAUAAGUAAUAUGAAUUGCAGAUUUUCGUGAAUCAUCGAAUCUUUGAACGCACAUUGCGCCCUCUGGUAUUCCAGAGGGCAUGCCUGUUUGAGCGUCAUUUCUCUCUCAAACCUUCGGGUUUGGUAUUGAGUGAUACUCUUAGUCUUACUGGGCGUUUGCUUGAAAUGUAUUGGCAUGAGUGGUACUGGAUAGUGCUAUAUGACUUUCAAUGUAUUAGGUUUAUCCAACUCGUUGAAUAGUUUAAUGGUAUAUUUCUCGGUAUUCUAGGCUCGGCCUUACAAUAUAACAAACAAGUUUGACCUCAAAUCAGGUAGGAUUACCCGCUGAACUUAAGCAUAUCAAUAAGCGGAG
RNAcentral lists this ribosomal RNA (526 nucleotides) under Debaryomyces subglobosus. RNAcentral describes it as "eukaryotic LSU rRNA". The stretch from base 119 to 272 matches the Rfam family "5.8S ribosomal RNA". Lineage: Eukaryota; Fungi; Ascomycota; Pichiomycetes; Serinales; Debaryomycetaceae. The record is from RNAcentral.